Molecule: ribosomal RNA, 498 nt
Filed under: uncultured bacterium
Lineage: Bacteria
Description: partial 16S ribosomal RNA
Rfam family: Bacterial small subunit ribosomal RNA
Source: RNAcentral
AUUGAACGCUGGCGGCAUGCCUUACACAUGCAAGUCGAACGGUAACAGGUCUUCGGAUGCUGACGAGUGGCGAACGGGUGAGUAAUACAUCGGAACGUGCCUAGUAGUGGGGGAUAACUACUCGAAAGAGUGGCUAAUACCGCAUGAGAUCUACGGAUGAAAGCAGGGGAUCGCAAGACCUUGUGCUACUAGAGCGGCCGGUGGCAGAUUAGGUAGUUGGUGGGAUAAAAGCUUACCAAGCCGACGAUCUGUAGCUGGUCUGAGAGGACGAUCAGCCACACUGGGACUGAGAAACGGCCCAGACUCCUCCGGGAGGCAGCAGUGGGGAAUUUUGGACAAUGGGCGCAAGCCUGAUCCAGCAAUGCCGCGUGCGGGAUGAAGGCCUUGGGGUUGUAAACUGCUUUUGUACGGAACGAAAAGCCCCGGGUUAAUACCCUGGGGUCAUGACGGUACCGUAAGAAUAAGCACCGGCUAACUACGUGCCAGCCGCCGCCGUAA